GCGAGAGUGGCGGAAUUGGCAUACGCGCCAGAUUUAGGAUCUGGUCCCGAAAGGGGCGGGGGUUCGAAUCCCCCCUCUCGCACCA
This 85-nucleotide transfer RNA is filed under the name Planctomycetota bacterium. RNAcentral describes it as "tRNA-Leu". It matches the Rfam family "tRNA". From Rfam's summary of the family: Transfer RNA (tRNA) molecules are approximately 80 nucleotides in length. Their secondary structure includes four short double-helical elements and three loops (D, anti-codon, and T loops). Lineage: Bacteria; Pseudomonadati; Planctomycetota. The record is from RNAcentral.